CUCGGCUGGAAUGUGCUUUUAAUCGCUCACAG
This 32-nucleotide non-coding RNA is filed under the name Geobacter sulfurreducens KN400. The record is from RNAcentral. Lineage: Bacteria; Pseudomonadati; Thermodesulfobacteriota; Desulfuromonadia; Geobacterales; Geobacteraceae.